This 506-nucleotide ribosomal RNA is filed under the name uncultured bacterium. RNAcentral describes it as "partial 16S ribosomal RNA". It matches the Rfam family "Bacterial small subunit ribosomal RNA", at positions 29 to 523 of the family's 1533-position model. The record is from RNAcentral.
AGUGAACGCUGGCGGUAGGCCUAACACAUGCAAGUCGAACGGCAGCACAGGAGAGCUUGCCCUCUGGGUGGCGAGUGGCGGACGGGUGAGGAAUACAUCGGAAUCUACUCUGUCGUGGGGGAUAACGUAGGGAAACUUACGCUAAUACCGCCUACGACCUACGGGUGAAAGCAGGGGACCUUCGGGCUUGGCGCGAUUGACUGAGCCGAUGUCGGAUUCGCUAGUUUGCGGGGUAAAGGCCCACCAAGGCGACGAUCCGUAGCUGGUCUGAGAGGAUGAUCAGCCACACUGGAACUGAGCCACGGUCCAGGCUACUACGGGAGGCAGCAGUGGGGAAUAUUGGACAAUGGGCGCAAGCCUGAUCCAGCCAUACCGCGUGGGUGAAGAAGGCCUUCGGGUUGUAAAGCCCUUUUGUUGGGAAAGAAAUCCAGCUGGCUAAUACCCGGUUGGGAUGACGGUACCCAAAGAAUAAGCACCGGCUAACUUCGUGCCAGCAGCCGCGGUAA